AGGGCACGGAUGAAGAGGGCUACACCGUUUUUAUCUCAAAGGCGAAGGGACAUGAAGGAGAACGUGGCAUAUUCGCGUAUCCGCGAAGCGAUGCAUGGUUGGAAGUAAAGCUAGGUGAAUUUUUCAACAAUUUUGGAGAAGAUGGUGAAGUUGAAAUGAGGUUGAUGGAGAACAAAAACCCUAAUUGGAAAUCUGGGAUUAUUGUUAAGGGCAUUGAUAUUCGUCCAAAUUAAAUUUAAGAUU
Molecule: unclassified non-coding RNA, 243 nt
Filed under: Hevea brasiliensis (rubber tree)
Lineage: Eukaryota; Viridiplantae; Streptophyta; Magnoliopsida; Malpighiales; Euphorbiaceae
Source: RNAcentral